GCUCGUCUGACAGCUCAAAUGAGAGGCCCAAACAGUCCGAUGCAGAACACAGGAGUCGUCUCACUUUACUGUGCUUGCUGGGGGGCAAACGUGGCCCCAUUUAUAGAGGGAGAUGUCGACUAAUGGGAUACGAAAAUAAGCUGUUUGAACCAAAAGGUAAAGCUGCCCAGAAAAGAAGACCCUGGACACAGAAAGAGGUGAAGGCUGUCGAGAAGCACAUGAAGCGGUUCAUCCCUUCUGGUAUUGUAUCAGCAAAGAGUGACUGUUUAAAAUAUUUGAGGGCCGAACCGGAAGCUCUCCAAAACCAUGGCAAGCAUUGAAGUUCUAUGUGUAGAACCGCAUUACGGCCUACAAAAGGAGAUUGCAGGUAAAAUAGUAGAUUAAGAGAUAAUCAGCAAGACUGGUUAAGUAGAACAGUUUUUUAUGUACUUUAUGUUCAAUGUUGUUAAAAAUAAAAAGUAAAAAUAAAAGUUUAAAUGAGUUUGUAUUUUAUUUCUAUGGUUUAAGGUAAGAUAAGA
Molecule: long non-coding RNA, 518 nt
Organism: Nerophis lumbriciformis (worm pipefish)
Lineage: Eukaryota; Metazoa; Chordata; Actinopteri; Syngnathiformes; Syngnathidae
Source: RefSeq, a predicted model, not a curated record